This 253-nucleotide ribosomal RNA is filed under the name uncultured bacterium. RNAcentral describes it as "partial 16S ribosomal RNA". It matches the Rfam family "Bacterial small subunit ribosomal RNA", at positions 524 to 776 of the family's 1533-position model. The record is from RNAcentral.
UACGUAGGUGGCGAGCGUUGUCCGGAUUUACUGGGCGUAAAGGGAGCGUAGGCGGACCUUUAAGUGAGAUGUGAAAUACUCGGGCUCAACUUGAGUGCUGCAUUUCAAACUGGAAGUCUAGAGUGCAGGAGAGGAGAAUGGAAUUCCUAGUGUAGCGGUGAAAUGCGCAGAGAUUAGGAAGAACACCAGUGGCGAAGGCGAUUCUCUGGACUGUGACUGACGCUGAGGCUCGAAAGCGUGGGGAGCAAACAGG